This 21728-nucleotide long non-coding RNA is filed under the name Medicago truncatula (barrel medic). RNAcentral's name for it is "long non-coding RNA (MTRU_LNC006115)". Lineage: Eukaryota; Viridiplantae; Streptophyta; Magnoliopsida; Fabales; Fabaceae. The record is from RNAcentral.
UGCAAAAUGAUGAUUGCCCCAUUCUUUGGCAUCAAAGUAAGCACCAUGGUAGGAAGAUGCGCAUAAUUAGGAGAAAGUUCAAAUGAGAAAUUCUGCAGCAACAAUGAUAUUGCUAUCUUUGCUUCUAAUAAGGUAAAGUUUUGUCCAAGACAAAUUCUAGGACCCCAUCCAAAGGGGAAAUAAGAAACUUGUCCUUUUGUUGCCUUCGCAAUUCCUUCAGCAAACCUUUCGGGUUUGAACUCCUUUGCAUCAUCCCCCCAUAGAUCUUGAUCAUGGUGAAUCAAUACUAUUGGUAGGGCAACAUUUGUUCCUGUGGGCAGCAAAAGUUUUCCAAGUUUCAAAUCCUUUUGAACAGCUCGAUUGAAGUAAAUUACAGGAGGGUAUAACCUUAGUACCUCGUACAAAAUCAUGGUAACCUAUAUGGAAACAAAAGAAUUAUCAGAUAGUACCGAAAAUGAUUAUGUAUUAAUAAUCAUCAAAAUGAAACUAUGUGAUUAAAAAUUAUCUUCUUGUGUCCAAUUUUCACGUGACAUUAAUAAGGAGAUUAUGAAUCUCUCUCUCAAUAAUUGACAUGAUGUCCCUAAUUUCCACAAUUUCCACCCUCCAGGCAUGGUCCUAGCGGGGAUUCAUACGAAUUCAUCUACUACCUAGGUUGACUUAUUUUAUACAAGGUUCGAACCAGAAACCUCAAAUUUGAAAUCACCCCAAUAAUAUCAGUAAAAAAAGAGAUAGAUACAAACUUUAUGUGCCAAGAUCAUUUGAAAUUUGAUUUGUAAUUUGAACAUAAGAGUAAGUAAUACAUACAGUUUUAAGUUGACUUAAUCCUUCGCUGUUUGGAUUUUGGUUCCCAAAAACUUGCAAAACUUCCUGCCUUGCACGUUCUUGCCAUUCAGGAUACCUGCCUAAUAACACCAUUGUCCAAACCAGCAAACUUGAAGUGGUCUCUUGCCCAGCAAGGUAAAACAAUUUGCAUUCAUCUAUCACAUCAUGGGUGGUCAUCCCAAUAUUCUUACUAUUUCCAUGUCCUUGUUUUUCGGCAUGAUUUGAUUGCAAAAGAAUGCCUAAUAAAUCAUCAUUGGUGGCUUCACCAUUCUUCAGUGCUUCUUCUCGUUUUUCAAUGAUUCCCUCAAGUGAAUCACGGAUAUCUCUUUCAAUCUCUUUCAUCCUCCUCUCGGCAGUUGUUGGUAGAAGCCUAGAAAGCACAUUUAUUUAGUGAUGUUAAAUGUGAAGGAAUGCACUUGUUUAAUAAUAUUAGAUUAUAACUUGGGAUGAGAAAUACAGUAAAACAAAAUAUGUAGUUAGUUUUUUUUUUUUUUUUUAAGAAAUGCAUAGAGUUAGUUAUAAAUCAAGUUUCUUGCACAUUCAUUAUUUAGAGUUAUAUGUCACACAUUAGACCUCUUGUGUCCCAUGGUUCCUUUGUCUAGCAUGUUAUGCUUCAGACAACAAAGACUACAGACAUGUAGACAUCAAUCACACAGGCAUAUUAGCAGGCUAACAACAUACAUAAGCUUUCAAACCCACUUCUGGUUAUGUACAAUUAAACUUGAAACACAGUGAUAGUAUACUUGAUAAUGAUAAAAUAAUGGUUAAGGUAGUUUAUAUUAGAAAGGGGUUAUAGGUAGGUAUAUUGUACUAGUUAGAUAUUAAGUAGUUAUUGUCUAAUUGUUGUAGUUAUCUUAUUGUGUGCAUGUAUUAGUAUAUCUAAGGAUUGUAUUAUCUCAUUGUGAAUAUGAAUGAAAAAUAAUAUGCUAAAGAUUAAUAGUGAUACCGCCAUAAUGGAAUGUUCGUGCGUGGUGCUGUCAUCAAAAUAAAUCCCUGCUUCUUUAGAAGUUGAAAUAUUUUUGCUCCUUCUGCAUAGCUGCUUCCAAAUGCUGUUCUAGAAAUUACAUCACAGGUCAAAUUCUGAAGGAAAGGCCAAACAUCAAGCUCACAUGUUCCAUCUGAUGACAAUAAUCCCUUCCAUUUGCUUAUCAUUUCAUUGCAACUGUGAGAAAAUGCAGGCAGCAUACCCUACAGUAUAAAGUAAAUCAUAUUAUAAGAAGAAAAUUUAGAAAUUCAAUUACAAAAUUGAAAUAAUUAGCUAGAGCAAUAACCUUACUUUCAAUUUUUCUAUGUGGAAUGCCGGAUUGACUAUCUUUCGAUGUUUAGCCCAUUUCUCACCCUCUUGGUGUGCUAUACCAACACCGAAAUACUUGGAAAUGGAGAUGAACUUUGAUUUGGGGAAGUCCUCCAUCCUGUUAAAGAUUUCCUUAAUUUGAUCAGGGUCUGUGAUGAUAACACUUGGUGUUGCACCGUCCCAUAAAAAGGAAUUCUUUCCUGCAUAUAUAUCCUUUAUGUUAGAACAACAAAUUAAACCCGACUCCAAAGUAAACAGAUAGAUAAACGCGCAAGAAUGCAAUGCUUGAUUACAAAGUUCUACCAAUUGUGUUUACGUCUCAGAGAGCAAUGUGGCAGUUGUAAUUUUCUAUUAUGCAAUGCUUAAGAUUACAUAGUACAAGAUAAGUUUAAAUACUUCGCUAAGCUCGUUGCUCUUUCAGCUUUACUUGCUCUAUUAUGCUAGAGCAUCUUCCCACUUAUCAGUGAAUAUAAACCAUACUUAACACUUGACUUAUGGAGGACUGGAUAUCUAUUUGUGAUUUGAUAUUAACAUCAAGUCCAUUUCAUGCAUGUUUGGCCCUUGCAUCUGAUAAUAUAAACUAGGUCAAAUGCAUCUAAAGGUCCUUUAAGUUGUUCGUUUUUCCCAAAGUGGUCCUUUAAGUUUCAAAAGUUCCAAACAAGUCCUUUUAAGUUUCAAAAGUCUCAAACAAGUCAUUUUAGUUUUUGAAUCGUUUCAAACAUGUCCUUUUAGAGGAUGAUGGUGAUUAUCCACCAUUUGCCAUGCCUAAAAAGAUGACUAAUUUUAAGUGGGUGUUAGGAGCCAGAUUUGGUACCAAAGAUGAGUUCAAGGAAGCAAUUACCAACUAUGCUAUCUACAAUAGGACUUGUUUGAAACGAUUCAAAAACUAAAAGGACUUAUUUGGAGCUUUUGAAACUUAAAGGACCACUUUAGGAAAAAUGAAAAACUUAAAAAACCUUAAGAUGCAUUUGACCUAUAAACUAAACUCCUAGUUGUGAAGAUUUAGAAAGGAAUUUAGUAUAUGUACCAUAUUUGUGGACAGCUUCAUGAAGAGUUGAGAAGAUAGAUGGUGCAACUUCUUUGGAGAGACCAAUGGAUUUAGAUUUAUCUUCUUGUUGUAACUUCAACAUAUAAUUUUGUUUUGAUUUGUCCUUUAAUACUGAAAGGUUAUAUGGUUCACCUUGAAGACCUUGACCUUUGAGAAGCUUCUCUAACCUCUUUGGCUUAAGCCAAAAAUUGUUGAACAGAUCCCAUGGAAGCACAGCAAGUAGAACUGACAGAACACAGAUGAUUAUUGUUGUUCCUGUGGGAAACACAAACACCUCCAUUUUAGAGUGACAAGUUUUUGCUCAACAUGAAAAUAUGAGAAAUUGUGAAGCAUCAAAAUAGAUCUUUAUCUUUUUUUUGGACGGAUAUCUGCGGAAGAUUCUUUUUCAUGUCGGUAUUGUACUGAGAUUUUUUUCUCGAUCUGGUGUGAAUCCGAGAUCUUAUCUAUAUUAUGUCUUCAUCAAAUGAGCUAAGCUCACGAUUAAAAUAAAGAUACUUGAAUUACGCUUCUCUUUCCUAUUAUUUAAAACAUAUUAGUAAACAUUCCAUUCCUCUCUUCUAAAAAAAACUUGAAUUACAUUCAUCUUCUCUCUUAUGUUAAAAUUUACACUUUACUCCCUCAAUAUUUUUUUUAACAUAAGAGGGGAGAGAGGAGUGUANAUUUUACUUUUCAAAGGAAGAGAAGUAUAUAUUUUAACAUAAGAGGGGAGGAGUAUAAUUCAAUCAUCUUUAAGAGUACGGGAAUGUAAUUUACUCAAAAAUAAAAAGUAAAUAAAAAAAUAAAAGGUAAAUGAUAACUACAAUAAUUCAACCAAUUUUAAUCCAAUAAUAACUACAAUAAGCAACCUAUAUUUGACCCCACUAAUUUGUGUUCUUUUAAUAUUUUUUUCAUUUUCACUUAAUUUGAUUCAAAUUUAAACCCACGGUAUAGACUUCACUUCCAUCAUUCUUCAAUCAAUUUUCAAUCUCUCACCAUUUUCAAAUUCUCCUUGGAUCAAUCUACUUCACCAGCACAUUUUAAUUCGAUUUUUCUUUUUCUGGAUCUAUAAUUUCCUUCCUCCAUUAUUUUUAGAUCUACCAUUUGUUUUUGUAUUCUUUAGCAUUCGUGAAUUAAUCUGUGGAGAAAGUGUGUCUUUGAGACAUUUUCAUGUCUCUGUUCUCUUAUUUUUUUCAAAUUUUCAAAUUUUCUGUUGAGAAUUCAACAAGGUUUUAUUAUUUUUUAAUGGCAAGCAACACACUUUAUGCAUUACUUAAAUAAGCAACUGACACAAAGAAAUAAACAAUGAGAACUUCAGCUGGAUCUCCUCCAACGCUCCAGAACUUAAGGGACGGAACCUUCACAUCCAGCUAGGCAAUAAACAACCUGCAUUGAAGAUGCCCUAAGAAUAUCUUCAAUGAAAAGUCAUUUAUUUAGUUAGCAAAGACCUCUAUUAGAGAAGAAAAAAGUGGGUGUUUAUUAGUUCCGGGUAAAUUAUAUAAGGACUCACUCUUCAAUUUCACAACAUUUCUCUUUUCAAUUUAUUUUUACUUUCUAAAUGCACAUGUUAAAAUACAUAUUAGUGGACUCAUUUAAAGAUUCCUUUUAGUUUAGUAUUAUUGAAGUUAUUGAGUUUUUAAUAAAUACUUUUAUUUAAAAAUAAAAAUAAAUGACGUUGGAAUUUAUUUAAAGAUUCUUUUUAGUUUACUAUCAUUGUGGAUACUUCAAAGGGAUUUGUUAAUAAACUUAAAAGAGAAAGUUUAUUUUAGGAUUGUUAUAUUGAAAACCUUGAAACUUUAAAAAUGUAAUUUUUAUACAUCAAAUUUAUAAUCUAUUUAUAUUUUUUACUUCUUAAUUAGUGUCCUAAGAACACUUAUUAGUUUAACCCAAAAUAAAAAAAUAGUUCAAUUUUGUACAAAAAAGAAUAAAAAAUAGUUCAAUUUUACAUUUGUUAAUAUUAUGCAUACAACUUUGACUUUUGUUUCUUAACCUCAAUUCUUAAAAAAUAAAAAAUAAAAAAAAUCUAUUAAUUCGGAGUUCGGUUGAAGAAAAAUAAAAUUUUGUCAAAUAUUUUUUCAGCCAAUAAUCGAAUCCAAAUAACCCAACAAUCAUAAUUUUCUCAACUUUUAAUCUGGCCUGACCUUAUCCAAAUACAACUAUUUAUGAUAGGGUGAAGAAUUCGCUAAAUGAGACGUCAUAGAUUGAUGAACAAUUCGUGGGUGGACAUAAAGAUUUGGACACUUCAUUUGAUCAACACGCAUAAAAAGAAAAAGUCUUAAUUAAAUAAUCAUUAAUUUUAAAAAGAUUUUAGCAUUUAUACUUUUUUGUGUGUGACCGAAUGAAGUGGCAAAAUUCUUGUGUUCAUGUAAGAAUUAUUUUAGAUUGAUAGCUUUGAAAAGAAUGACCAGAAAUCAAGUUGAUGACAUUCUGCUAAAGGUGGGAGUGAACAAAUGUUAGCUAAUAAGGAAGCUCUGGGAGGAUGAUUCUCAAACAUGCUCAGUCACAUGGACUUAGAUGAUCUCAGAUGGAAUCUUAAGCGUCAUUUGCUUCCUCAUCUUGAUGAAUCUGCCAGAGAUCUAUAUGUUUGUGUCUGAUACUCCUAUAGUGCUUCUGAAGCUUGAUAACAUAGUUAUCUCUGACUCUGACCCAAGACCUCAGAACUCUGCUGAGUUUGUGUCUGCUACUGAGUUUCAACAUUCUUAGCGGAUGUUAGAGCUGAAUUGGCUUCUCGACAUGUUGUUCAAAUUUAAAUGCAGAACCAACUUAAAGGGCAAUUAGAGACUCAAGUUGUAGUGAAGACUCAACCUAUGAAGCACGGACACCUCUUGAACCAGCCGUAUUACGGUGUCCGACACUCCUAUGACACUCGUACGACACGUAUCAGACAACUAAAAUCGGUGUCCUAAAUAAAAUUGUUUUUUCUUUAAUUCAACACUCUUAAGACCGGUGUCUGACACCUAUAUAACACUUAUAAGAGCCGUGUGUCGGACAACUAAGACGAAUAUCUGAAAUAUUUUUUUCUCUCUUGCUUCCACAUUCCGUAGAUACAAGAGUUACAUAUGUUUUGAAAAAUGUUGAUCAACUGGGAGGUUAUAGACAUAUAACAUUUUUAGCUUUUUUGAUAGUAGAUGAAUAAAUAAAUGUCAAAUACUGUGAUAUCUUGUUUUAUAACUUUUUCUAAUGAAAUAAUUUGCUCAAAUUAGAUACUUAUAUAUGUAUUUUGAUUUUCAUUUUAGACUAUCUAUAAAUAAAUUAAUAUAUACAUAAUGGUGUCGGUGUCCUAUAUUUUUUACACUAACAGUGUCGAAGUGUCCAUAUCAGUGUCGUGUCAGGUGUCCGUGUCGGAGUCCAUGUUUCAUAGGACUCAACUGGAUACCAUUCAGCAGCUUCUAAUGACUCUAGUCUCCUAGGAACCCUUUGUUUUUUAAUUUGAACUCUUUAUCACUUGUAUUUAUUUUCUCAGUAUCUUUAAUACAAAUAGUUCUUUUUGUUGAUAACAAAAGGGAGAGUAUAAGAAGUAUAUUAUUAUUUGCUAAAAUUGUCUAAUAAUAUGAUCUUGUAGAAUUUUUAUGCUUCUUAUGCUUAUAAGUCUUAGGAGGGUGCAUACAUGGAAGUGAAAUUGACAAUCAUGUAUCCUAGCUUUUUUUUUUUUUUACGUUGUAUCCUAACUUUAAAUUGAACUAUUUACUUCACUUUUUUUUUUUUUUUUUCAGGUUAUGGUUUUUAUGUGGUGCAUUUAUAGAAAGGAAGAGGAGAUGCAGUCACAUCAAUAACACCAGUGCAAUAUUGCACAUGAUAACCAGCAGUAAAUAUAGACAAGUUUUGAACAAAGCAGCAAUAUAGACAAGCAACGCUAGCAGAAAACAAAAUCAGCAACACUCGAAGAAAAAUAUAGACAUUAGGAGUAGAAAACCUAGGACCCAUUUAUCUUUGAUCCGACGACAUUAAAAAAGCAAUAACGAUUAACCACCAUCGUUAACAAAUUUGUCGCAAUUUAUAAACUCAUCAAUGUGGUUUCCUACAUGAAGCAAUAGUGUCUUAUUCUAAAGAAGUUAAGCUACUAAGUAACUCCAUUAGAUAUGCUCUUACAGUUUAUGCAAAAUGAUGCUUGCCCCAUUUUUUGGCUGCAAAGUAAGCACCGUGAUAGGAACAUGCACAUAAUUAGGAGAAAGUUCGAAUGAGAAAUUCUGCAGCAACAGUGAUAUUGCUAUCUUUGCUUCUAAUAAGGCAAAGUUUUGUCCAAGACAAAUUCUAGGACCCCAUCCAAAAGGGAUAUACGAAACUUGGCCUUUUGUGGCCUUUGCAAUUCCUUCAGAAAACCGUUCAGGAUUGAACUUCUUUGCAUCAUCACCCCAUAGAUCUUGAUCUUGGUGAAUCAAAUGUACUGGUAGCGAAACUUGUGUUCCUCCAGGUAACAAAAGGUUUCCAAGUUUCAAAUCCUUUCGAAGAGCUCGGACUAAGCCAAUUAUAGGUGGGUAUAACCUUAGUACCUCGUACAGAAUCAUGGUAACCUAUGGAAUCAGAAAAGAUUAUGUAUUAAUAUUCAUCAAAAUGAAAUUGUGUGAUUAAAAACGAUCUUCUCACGUCAAAUUUUCAAGUGAAAUUGCUAAGGGUGAUUAUAUAUCUCUCUUUCGACAAUUGACAUGAUCUCCCCUAAUUUCCACAAGUUCCCCACUCCGGGGGAUUCAUGGUCCUAGCGGGGGUUCAUACCAAUUCAUCUCCGACCUAGGUCGACUUACUUUAUACAAGGUUCGAACCAGAAAGCUCAAAUUUGAAAUCACCCCUUUUAUAUCAGUAAAGAGAGAGAUAGUUACAAAACUUCAUGUACUAAGAUCAUUUGAAAUUUAAACAUGAGAAUAAUCGAUACGUACAAUUUUAAGUUGACUUAGUCCUUCGAAGUUUGGAUUUUGGUUCCCAAAAACUUGCAAAACUUCCUGCCUUGCACGUUCUUGCCAUUCAGGAUACCUGCCUAAUAACACCAUUGUCCAAACCAGCAAACUUGAAGUGGUCUCUUGCCCUGCCAAGUAAAACAAUUUGCAUUCAUCGAUCACUUCUUGAGUGGUCAUUCCAAUACUCUUACUAUUUCCAUGUCCUUGAUUUUCGGCAUGAUUUGAUUGCAAAAGCAUGCCUAGUAAAUCGUCAUUGGUGGUUUCACCGUUCCUCAGUUCUUUUUCACGUUUUCUAAUGAUUCCCUCAAGUAAAUCACGGAUGUCUCUUUCAAUUUCUUUCAUCAUCCUCUCGUUAGUUGUUGGUAAAGGCCUGAAAAAUACAUAUAUCCAGUGUUGUUAAUUGUGAGGAAAGGCACUUGAUUAAUGUCAUAGUAUAAUAAGUGCAACAUGGUUCAAUUAAUUGCGUACUUUGAAUUACGUCUAACAACAUGUAGAAGCUUUCUAACUUGCUUCUGGUUAUGUACAAUUAAACUUGAAACAUAUUUAACAACUUUAUAUGUUAUUUUGUACCAUAAUGGAGUGUUCGUUUGUAGUUCUUUCAUCAAAAGAACUCCCUGCUUCUUCAAAAGUUGAAAUAGUUUUGUUCCUUCUGCGUAGCUGCUUCCAAAUGCUGUCCGAGAAAUUACAUCACACGUCAAAUUCUGAAGGAAAGGCCAAACAUCAAUCUCACAUGUUCCAUCUGAUGACAAUAAACCAUUCCAUUUGCUUAUCAUUUCAUUGCAACUGUGAGAAAAUGCAGGCAGCAUACCCUAUAGUAUGAAGUAAAUCAUAUAAUAAGAAGAAAAGUUAGAAAUUCAAUUUGCAAAAUUGAAAUAAUUAGCUAAGUAAUAACCUUACUUUCAAUUUUUCUAUAUGGAAUGCCGGAUUGACUAUCUUUCGAUGUGUAGCCCAUUUCUCACCCUCAUGGUGUACUAUACCAACACUCAAAUACAAGGCAAUGGGUCUUAACUUUUGUUUGGGGAAGUCCUCAGUCUUGUUAAAGACAUCCUUAAUUUGAUCAGGGUCUGUGAUGAUAACCCUUGGUAUUGUACCUUCCCAUAAAAAGGAAUUAUUUCCUGCAUAUCCUUUAUGUUAGAACAGCAAACCCAAUUCUAAAGUGAACAGAUAAAUAAACGCACAUGAAUACAAUGAUUGAUUACGGAGUUCGGCCAAUUGUGCCUACAUCCCUGAAACCAGAGUAGUGGUUGUAAUUUUUUAUUAUGCAAUCUCUUCAUUAAAAACUCUCGUUAUCCGACAAGACAAGCGUUUAGUUUUAAAAAACUCUUGUGAUACGACAAGCGUGUAGUUUAUAUUAUCUCUGACUAUCCUCAGUCUGAUCAUUUCUCAUUACUAUAAAAUCUACAUUUCUUCUCUCUACACACCAAAACCACCUAAACCCAUUUUUCACGAUCUUUUCUACUAUAGGUGCUGCCCACCCCAACUCUAUCUCUAAUUUUUCAUUUCUAAUCUUAUCUCAUAUCUUCUUAUCACACAUCCAACACAACUUCUUCAUAUCUACUACACUGAUUUUAUUCUUAUGCCAGUUCUUCACCACCUAACACUCUAUUCCAUACAGCAUCGUCAGUCUUAUAUCUAUGCGAUAAAAGUUUCCCUUCAACUUGAGUGGUACUUUCGUAUCACAUAAAACACUGAGGCUGUUGUAAUCAAAAUUUCAAGACUUUUAUGAUUUUCCUUUUAGUUAAGGAUCUAGACAUAUAUUCUACCGACCAUGAUUUGAGAUGUGUUAUCAUGAUUUUUGACAUCUCUACGACUUCAAUUGAACCCGUAGUAAACUUCCAUCGAGUGCAACAUCGAUGGCCAUGUCUACUUACGGAUUUGAUUAAGUUAUAAAUGGAGGACAACUCAUUGUUUUAUUUUUAACUCUCUUGUUCUCGAGAAAAUGCAACUCUGGUAAAUCGGAGUUCGACUAAUAUAUAGGUAAGUAAUACUUGUCUUUUGGAUUGAGUUAGAACAAAGCCCAAGUUUAGAGUCUAUCCUAAGGAAGCAAAUUUCCCCACCUCCCACAUUUCUAAAAAUUCACAUAUGUUUAUGAAAGCAUACUUCCAAACAAUAUAUUUUGUCCUAAAGUGUACUUUGGUUAAAUAAACAAAAUAGAAAGAUGUACGUACCAUAUUUAUGAAGAGUUUGAUGAAAAGGUGAGAAGAUAGAUGGAGCAGCUUCUUUGGAGAGACCAAUGAAUUUAGACUUAUCUUCGUGUUGCAACCUCAACAUAUAGUUUUGUUUUGAGUUGUCUACAAAGAAUGGAAGCUUAUAUGGUUCACCUUGAAGACCUUGAGCUUUGAGAAGUUUUUCAAACCUCUUUGGCUUAAGCCAAAAAUUGUUGAAGAGAUGCCAUGGAAUCACAGCAAGUAGAACUGUUAGAACAAAGAUGAUUAUUGUUGUUGUUGUGGGAAACACAAACACCUCCAUUUUAGUCAGCUUUGAUAUUGAAACACAUACAAAUAUUAGACUUGCACCGUUUAUGGCAUUUAUACGGUAAACAAUGUUUUUUUUAAGGAACGUUAAACAUUGUUUUGUUUUGCCACUUUUAAAAAUAUUAUAUAUAUUAAUAUAGAGUAAGACUUUUAAAAACAUAUAUAUUUCAUUAAUCACUCUGAUUACAUACAUUAACCACAAUAAUGCAAGUAACUACCUAUUUAUUUAUUUUACAUAGUUUAGAAAAAACUGAUAAAAAUAUAUAGAUUUUGUUUAUUAUAAGACGUGUUAGCUUGUGUAAGUACCACGCUACAUUUGAGUACCACGCUACAUGCGAGUACCACGCUACUAAGAUACUGUAAUUAGCUUUGCUCAUGUCGUCAUGCCUAUUUUGAAGAUCCUUUCCAUUCUCAGACAAAUGAGAUUUUACUCCUUCCAUCUCAUCUCAUACUAAUAAUUAACAUUUAACAUAGUUCAACUUUUCUACUUAACAUAAAAAAUAGUUCAAUUUUACAUAUGUCGAUAUACAUAUGACUAGGGAUGCGGAAAAAAAACUACGAGCCGAACCAUCCAACCUAACCAUCGAAUUGACCGAACCAUUAUAAUAGUUCGUGAACCGUAUAAUUAAUUUAAUAACAGUUAAUAAACCAUAACCGAACCGUUUUAAAUUCCAAACCGAACCAUUAGCAAAGCACAAACUUAAUAUUUUAAUAGUGAAGAUUUAUUUUCUCUUUUAUCAUGCAUUAUCAUUGAAAGUUGUUGAUGUUUUUGUUGAUAUUCCUAUAAUACAACUUGUAAAAUCACAAGAAAUUAAUAAAAAGUCUUGAUACUUUUUUGGAGGAUAAAAAUUCUUAACACUUGUGGCACAAUUCCAAUUUAUGAAAAAGAAUAAAAAAACAAUUUGGUUCGCAAAAGGAUAAGAAAAUACAUUUUUAUUCAAAAUAUUAUUUUAGGUUCGGUUCAAGGACAACAAAAUGGUUAACCGAACAAUAAUUUUAGUUUGGUUCGAUUCCUCGCAAAACUCAAAUGGUUCGGUUCAAUUUUUCAAACCGUUAACACGGUUUUCUUCAAAAACCGAACCAUACCCACCCCUACAUACAACUUUGACUUAUUUUGUGUGUUAAUCCCCAACUCUUAAGGGGAAAGGGGCUUACUAAUUUGAAGUUUGGUUGAAUGAAAAUGAAAUUUUGUAAAGAAUUCUUUCAUUUAUGUAUCAAAUCCAAAUUCUCUUGAACAUGCAACUUUGAAUGUUUAAUUAUUAUUAAUUAGCAAGAAAUAUAGAAAAAUGUAAUUUUGAAAAUAGUUAUUGAAACAAAUCAAACAUCCAAUAUAUAUUAACGUUUGUCUUUAUAUUUUUGUAAAAUUAAGAAUGUAUUUAUAUGUUAAUAAAAAAAAAUUGUCAAACUAGAUUAUGAGAACAUUGCACAUGAUUAAAUCGUGUCAAUUAAUUUGAGACAUAGAGUAAUAUUUAUAUGUUCUCAUAAGAGCACAAAAAGUUAUUUAUGUAAGAUUUAUUCUCAAGUUUUCUUAAACAAUUAUGUUAAUUACAGUUUUGGUUCCCUUAUUUUCAUUUGCUCACGGAAUUAGUACUUCUAUUUUAAAACCAUUCAGUUUUGGUCUAUCUUUCAAUUUUUUUUUAACUAAAUGGUGACAUGUUAUAUUUAUAUUGAAGCUUUUUUUUUUUUUUUUUUCUGUCUAGUAGCCUAGUGGUUAGAGCUCACACAAUUAAAUGUGGAGAAGUGGGGUGUCCGAGGUUUGAACCCCGGUCCCUGUAUAAAUUAUGCAAUGUCCCUACCAACUGAGUUAAGCUCACGAAGACUUUAUAUUGAAGCUUUUAAGGAGAUCUCAAGUGAUUCCAUGGGUAUUGAUCAUUAUGUGUCGUUAGAGCAUAUGACAUGUAGUUUAAAAUAUAUCACAUCACCAUAUUUUUUAGUCUAAAUAUUAGAGAAAGAGACCAAAAUUAGAUAAUUUUCAAACCAAUUUCGUGAGUAAAAAUAUGGGAGUCAAAAAUGUAAUUAAGUCUAAACUAUUCGAGUUUAAAUGAAACACAUUAGUUUAUUGAGCUUAAUUGCAUGGUUGACUAAUCAUUAUUGAUUUAAUAAAUAUAAGAAAAUAAAAUAUAUUAAUAAAAUGGGAGAUGGGUAACAAGAGUACCAGUUGUACUCCUUAAAAAACAAAAAACAAAAAAAAAAAAGAGUACUAGUUAUUGGGAAAAACCUAAGUUCAACGUCGAAUAGAUAAGACUCUCGAGAAGAGUUUAUAAAGAUGAGGCAAUCAUCACCUUACAAAUCCGGUUUUCUAAGGAUGAGUUAGGUCCCAAAUUUCAACAUGUUAUCAAAGCUUGUCGAAUUCAAGGGCCACCUACCUAUUCACGCACCAAGCCCAAAGACUGUUGGGCGUGAGGUGGGUGUAUUGGGAAAAACUCAAGUCCCACAUCGGAUAGAUAAGACUCUUGAGAAAAAUUUCAAGCCUAGUUGUACUUUAUUUCAUAGGUGGGUUUAGCCACUUGUACUUACCGUUGUACUUUGAUGCUAUCUGGGGCAUUGCAUCUGAGUUAAUCAUUUCACAUUUUUUAUAGUUUUGAUAAAACCGUUUUACUUUGAUUGCUGUACACCAUGGGAUUUUAAGCUUGCAGGCCCUGUCAUUUUAUUUGAUCAUGCAUAGUUUGAUAAUUGAUACAGUGGGAUGUGUUCAAACCAUCUUUGUUGUGGAAGGAUAGAAUAAACUUUUGCCUUGUAACUGUUUUUUCGCCGAAAAACAAAACAGGAUUGCAGCUGGCACAGGACAAAGGCCGAAAGGCAACAGCCAAACUAAAAAUAGAAGAACCCCAAAACUGUCCUCUAAAACAGGCAAACAGCAGACCAACAAAACGCCAACCUGCUGCAGAACCAUAACAGAAAACCCGUUGACAGUAACUGUUAUUCUGCUAUUAUUAUUUUAACACUUUCAUUUUACCUAAAGCUCUCUACAUUUUAUUUUCUAUUGAAACAACAUCAAUAACAAAGAGACAUCACUGCAACAACAUCAAUAACACCAGUGCAACACUAUAGACAGGUUUUGAAUAAAACAGCAAUAUAGACGAUAACACCAACACUAGCAGAAAACGAAAUCAGCAACACAGGGCAAAAUUAUGGAUAUCAGGAAUAGAAAAUAUAUCAAACACUUUUUCUAUAAUCCAACGACGCCAAAAUUGCAACAAACAAAACCAGCAAGCAGCUAUAUCAAAAUGUGACAUCCUCGUCCAGGAAAAAAAAAAACACUAAUCACCUGUCUAUACAAUUUCUUUAAAGAUGGUGAACCAGCUUCGAUCUUAACAGCAAAAAUAAUUAAAGAAAAACUCAACAAUUUCCUUUUUUUCAAUAUAAAGCUUCAGGUUUUUGAACCCUUUAAUGACAACAGUGUCGUGGAACAUGAUCAGUUUUCGGCUACAACUGAAGACCAAACUCAACAUUAAUUCAUAAACAAGCCAACCUUAAUAUUGGAGAAAAAUUGUCCAAAUUCAAAAACUCAUACCUGUGGUUUCUUACAUAAAGCAAUAGUGUCUUAAUUUAAAGAAACUCGUGUUUCCAAAAUCAUCACCUAAAAAAGUUAACCUACUAAGUAACUCCAUUGGAUGUGCUCUUACAGUUUAUGCAAAAUGAUGCUUGCCCCAUUUUUUGGCUGCAAAGUAAGCACCGUGGUAGGAACAUGCACAUAAUUUGGAGAAAGUUCGAAUGAGAAAUUCUGCAGCAACAAUGAUACUGCUAUCUUUGCUUCUAAUAAGGCAAAGUUUUGUCCAAGACAAAUUCUAGGACCCCAUCCAAAAGGGAAAUAAGAAACUUGUCCUUUUGUUGCCUUCGCAAUUCCUUCAGCAAACCUUUCAGGUUUGAACUCCUUUGCAUCAUCACCCCAUAGAUCAUGAUCUUGGUGAAUCAAUAGUAUUGGUAGGGAAAUUUGUGUUCCUUCAGGUAGCAAAAGGUUUCCAAGUUUCAAAUCCUUUCGAAGAGCUCGGUUGAAGUAAAUUAAAGGUGGGAAUAACCUUAGUACCUCGUACAAAAUCAUGGUAACCUACAGAAACAAAAACAAUUAUCAGAUAGUACCAAAAAGGAUUAUGUAUUAAUAAUCAUCAAAAUGAAAUUGUGUGAUUAAAAAUGAUCUUCUUGUGUCAAAUUUUCAUGUGACAUUGUUAAGGGUGAUUAUGUAUCUCGCUCUUUUAACAAUUGAAAUGAUCUACCCUAAUUUCCUUAUUGGAUGAAUUUCCACUACCUAGAUGGGAUUCAAACUUCAUCUCCUACCUAGGUCAACUUAUUUUUUACAAGGUUCAAACCAGAAAACUCAAAUUUGAUAGUACAUCUGCACACAUUCAAUCACUUCUGACCUAGUGCAGCAUCAUUAAGCCAACUCACAAGUGCAAACCCCGCUAUGGUUAUGAUUCACCCCUUUAAUAUCAGUGAAGAGAAAGAUAAAUACAAAACUACAUGUGAUAAGAUCAUUUGAAAUUUGAACAAUACAUACAAUUUUAAGUUGACUUAAUCCUUCGUUGUUAGGAUUUUGGUUCCCAAAAACUUGCAAAACUUCCUCCCUUGCACGUGCUUGCCAUUCAGGAUACCUGCCUAAUAACACCAUUGUCCAAACCAGCAAACUUUAAGUCGUCUCUUGCCCAGCAAGGUAAAACAAUUUGCAUUCAUCUAUCACAUCUUGGGUGGUCAUCCCAAUAUUCUUACUAUUUCCAUGUCCUUGUUUUUCGGCAUGAUUUGAUUGCAAAAGAAUGCCUAAUAAAUCGUCAUUGGUGGUUUCACCAUUCUUCAGUGCUUUUUCUCGUUUUUCAAUGAUUCCCUCAAGUGAAUCAUGGAUUUCUCUAUCAAUUUCUUUCAUCUUCGUCUUGGUAGUUGUUGCUAGAAGCCUAGAAAACACAUUUAUUUACUGAUGUUAAAUGAGAAGGAACGCACUUGGUUAAUAGUAUUAUAUUAUAAUAAAUGCAACGCAAUUCAUUUCAUUAGGUAUUUUGGAUUAAGUCUAACUCAACCAUACAGAUUUGUUGGGUAAAAUGAGUGGUACUCUUCUUUAUAAACUUUUUUCAGACUUUUUUUUCGAAGUCGGACAUGGGAUUUUGUUGAGUGUCUAAAGUUUUCAAAAACUAGAUCUAAAAUAUAACUUGGGAUAGGAAUACACUAAAACAAAAUAUGUAGUUAUAAAUCAAGUUUCUGGCACAUUCAUUAUUUAGACCUCGUGUGUCCCAUGGUUCUUCCGUCUAGCAUGUGAUGUUUCAGACAACGAAGACUACAGACAUGUAGACAUCAUUCACUCACAGGCAUAAUGGCAGGCUAACAACAUAUAGAAGCUUUCAAGUUUAUAUUUUAUUUUGCACUAGAGACUAUUUUCCUUGUCAAUAAAUAAUAAUGCGUAUGUCGUUCCCAAACAAGAAUAUACUUUCAAUUUGUCAAAUGUACCAAAAUGAUAUAUUGUGGUCAUACCCCCAUAAUGGAUUGUUCGUGUGUCGCCCUGUCAUCAAAAGAAAUCCCUGCUUCUUUAGAAGUUGAAAUAGUUUUGUUCCUUCUGCGUAGCUGCUUCCAAAUGCUGUCCGAGAAAUUACAUCACAGGUAAAAUUCUGAAGGGAAGGCCAAACAUCAAUCUCACAUGUUCCAUCUGAUGACAAUAAUCCCUUCCAUUUGCUUAUCAUUUCAUUGCAACUGUGAGAAAAUGCAGGCAGCAUAACCUAUAGUUUGAAGUAAAUCAUAUUAUAAGAAUAAAAAUUAGAAAUUUAAUUUACAAAAUUGCAAGAAUUAAUUAAAGCAAUAACCUUACUUUCAAUUUUUCUAGGUGGAAUGCUGGAUUGGCGAUCUUCCUAUGUUUAGCCCAUUUCUUACCCUCAUGAUCUAGUAUACCAACGUUCAAAUACUUGGCGAUGGAUCUUAGUUUUGGUUUGGGGAAGUCAUCAAUCUUGUUAAAGACAUCCUUAAUUUGAUCAGGGUCUGUGAUGAUAACCCUUGGUAUUGUACCUUCCCAUAAAAAGGAAUUCUUUCCUGCAUAUCCUUUAUGUUAGAACAACAAACCCAACUCUAAAGCAAACAGAUAAAUUAAAGCAUAGGAAUACAAUGCUUGAUUACAAAGUUCUACCAAUUGUGUCUACGUCUCUGAGAGCAAUGUGGCAGUUGUAAUUUUCUAUUGUGCAAUGCUUAAGAUUUACAUAGUACAAGAUGUGUUUAAAUACUUCCCUGCGCUCGUUGCACUUUCAGCUCUUCUGGCUCUGUUAUGCUAGAGCCUCUUCCUACUUAUCAGUGCAUAUAAUUCAUACUUAACACUUCACUUAUCAGUAACUUAUGGAGGACUUGAUAUCAAUUUGUGAUUUAAUAUUAACAUCAAUCAAGUCCGUAUCAUGUUUGGUCCUUGCAUCUGAUAAUAUAAACACAAACUCCUCCAGAACUCCGUUCUUUUCUUUUCAGUUACACAGGCAUAUUAACUAUGGCAUCAAAAAAUCAAAUCUCUAGACAUUUCUGAUUUUCUUGUUAAUAUCAGAUAUUCAAACAAAGUUUUAAAAAGUGUCUGUGACUGUGAUUUGAGUUGCAAUAUCAAAAUUUUGGAUAUUUCUUUGACCACAAUGGAGGCCACAUCAACUACACAUCACCACAAUAUCAAUGAUAGCACAUUGAUUGAGUUAUAAAUGGUGGACAACUUGUUAAGCUAGCUUCUGCACUGAGCUAGGACAACUCCCAAAUUCGAAGUCUAUCCUAAGGGCCGACUUUCUCCACUCCAAGUUUCUAAAAAUCCACAAAUAUUUUUGGAAAUGUACUUCCGGAAAACAUAUUUUGUCCGGCUUUCGAACAAACACAAAAUUCAUGCCUUUUUCCUACUGUAUACGUCUAGGGGUUGUGAAUAGUUCCUUCCUUAUCAUGAAUCUGUUGUCGGGGGUAGGGCUUUUUUUAAAUGACAGAUGUUAGGAUGUUGAUUGUUAGGUUAGUAUGUUCUCCUCAAACCUGACUUUAACUCCUCUUAGCUCAACCAAGUGAGCUACCCAUCCCUCCAAAGGGAGGUAGGGCUUGUUUUUCUUUUAUAAAUUAUACGCAAGCUAUAAAAUAUUGGCUUAAAUGUAUUUUUUACCCUUUAACUUUUAGAUUGGUGUAUAAACAAAAUAGAAAGUAAGAUUAGUAUAUGUACCAUAUUUGUGUACAGUUUGAUGAAUAGGAGUGAAGAUAGACGGUGCAGCUUCUUUGGAGAGACCAAUGGAUUUAGAUUUAUCUUCUUGUUGCAACUUCAACAUAUAAUUUUGUCUUGAUUUAUCCUUAAAUACUGAAAGGUUAUAUGGUUCACCUUGAAAACCUUGAGCUUUGAGAAGUUUCUCAAACCUCUUUGGCUUAAGCCAUAACUUGUUGAGAAGAUACCAUGGAAUCACAGCAAGUAGAACUGACAGAACAGAGAUGAUUAUUGUUGUUCCUGUGGGAAACACAAACACCUCCAUUUUAUGUUUUUGUCUUGGAAUUGGAUUGUGUCUUGUUGUGUUGUGUAAAAAGGUCAUUAAAGAGAUAUCUAAGGUGGUGGGGUCAUUCAAGUUCAACAGGGACACGUACACGUCUUUUCCAUUUUCCAUGUUGAAAAAAUAAGAGAGAGAAAAGAAAGGCUGAUGCCUGAUUGUCUCAAUUUAGUGUCUUAAUUAUAAUUUAUAUUAAUUUGGUCUCCUAUAUUUUUUACUAGUUUUAGUCCUUUAUGGUAGUUUCUCUAUAAAAAAAACGUUAACUUAUGUAUUAAAUUGAUCCCCGUUUUGCUUCGUUUUUAAUUUUAGUCCUUUCUGUUCACUUUUUUUUUGAGAGAAACUAAUGGAAAGUAUUAAAACCAGUAACGGAGCAAAUCAUAGAGGACCAAAUUAAUACAAAUUAUAGUUAGGGGAUCAAAUUGAGAGUGAUUUAACAAGCAAAAAAAACUUACCACUCUAAUAGUAAUAUAUCUAUUAAAAAAAGUGUUCGAUGUAUCUAGUUUACAAUAUUAUUUAUUAAAUAAAUUUACAAAGUUUGUACAUAGAAAAUAGGGUUAAUUAUAGAAAUUGAAUAUAUGUUAAGUUUAAAAAUGAUCUUGUAAAAUAAAAAGUAUAUAUUUUAAUAUUGUAAUUUGAGAUUCUUAUUAUUUUUGACUUUGUAAUAUAGUUGAAGUCCAAAAAAUUAUUUAGAGAUUGAAUUUUUUCAUGAUUUUUUUCACGUAUGUUUGGGACGUUAAAAUAUGACUUUACACAAAAAAAAUAAAAAAUUUCAACCGUGGAUGAAUCAAUUAUGAAUUUUUAAAGCGCCAAAAACUCAAAAAACAGAACAACGAAAACUUCAAUCUAGAAAUUGAAUUUUGAGUUGAUUGUUUGCAGAGACAUAUGCAGAUAUACAUAAAAAAGAUCUACAAAGUUUGGUACCAUUUUAAAGACGUUUCAAUUUAUUUUUAUUUUCAACCAAAACGUGUGAAAUAACAAUUUUGUUCCGGGUAAACGUAUACUCAUAGAUCAGGUUCAGUUCUCUAAUUUUGUAGGCAUGGUUAAAAUUUCAUAAGAACAUUCACCAUUAAAAUUAAAUUUUGGAGUUUUUAAACGAGAUACGAAUUAAUUAUGAAUUGUUUAAGAAAUUUUAUAGUUAUGGGAAAUAAAAAUUUGUCCCUAGUCUGAAAAAAUAUAUAUUUUUUUUUUUUGGUGUAAAAUCAUGUUUUAACAUCCUAAAGAUGCUUUUGAUUUGUUCAAAAAAAACAUCCUAAAGAUGCAUGGAAAAAAAAUCAUUAAAAAAUUCAAUCUCUACACCAUUUUUUCGGACCAUGCCUAUAUUAUAGGGUCAAAAAUAAGAAGUAUCUCAAAUUACAAGUUUGGAAUAUGUAUUUUUUUAUUUUACAAUGUCAUUUUUCAGACAUCGCAUAUUUCACAGAGUCAAAAUUAAAUAAUUAACCAAAAAUAAUAAUAUAAAAAGUAAACUUUCUUUUAUAAUACAUAUCGAAGAGACAUGUGUCUAAAUACCACAUGUGCCCGCGGCAAGAUAGUGGGUAUACACCGUUGCGGGUAAGGUUCCCUCGGUUAUUUGAGUUGGCGGUGGAGAAGGAGACUAAGGUCGAGGAGAUGAGGAGGAGGGGGUGGGACGUUAAUGGCAGGGCGUGGGUGUGGAGACGUCGUUUGUUUGUUUCGAAGGAGGAGAGUGUGAGGGAGUGUGCAACUCUUUUAUGCAACAUUGUUUUGCAGGACACUGUUCAAGACUCUAGGAGGUGGUUACUAGAUCCGGUUCAAGGGUAUUCGGUGAAAGCAUCAUAUCGUUUUAUUACAGAAACAGGCGCUACUGCGGACAGGUCUUAGGUUGAUGUUGUUUGGCCAAAGCAUGUACCGUCAAAGGUGUCUUUAUUGAUGUGGCGUCUUCUCCGCAACCGGCUUCCUACUAAAGAUAAUUUGGUUCAACGGGGUAUUCUUAUUCCAAGAGAUGGCAUGUGUGUGGGUGGUUGUAAUGUUAUAGAAUCAGCUACUCACCUUUUUUUAGCAUUGUAAUACUUUUAGUGCCUUGUGGUCUAAUGUGAGGACUUGGUUGGGAAUUUAUUCGAUGUUUCCUAGUGAGCUUCGACAACAUUUUAUUCAGUUUACCAGGAUGUCUUGCUUGCCAAGGUCGGUACAUUUAUUCUUAACAGUUAUUUGGUUUGCUACUAUUUGGGUGACUUGGAAGGAACAAAAUUAUCGUAUGUUUCAAAACACAACAGCUACUUCAUCGAUCAUUCUUGAAAAAGUCAAGUUGGAUUCUUUUUUAUGGUUGAAAUCUAAACAGGUAGCAUCUUGUGCGAUUUGAAAACACCUUUUAAUGGGCAAUUUGACAUUGUAAUUUUGUAACUUUGGUGGUGUGUCUCUUUUGCGCAUCUUUGUGCGAUUGAAAACACCUUUAAGUAUAUAUAUAUAUCAUUUUGAUUUGUUAAAAAAAUAUAUAAUGGAUAGUUUGUUUUGAAUUUUUUUAAAGAAAAAAAUUUAUUUUAUAAACAAAAAACGACUUUUAUGAUUUGUAGUGUUUUUUUUUUUAAGAUAUUUCAUUUUGUUUUUUGCUAUGAACUUGAAGAAAUUAUAAAUAGUCAUUCAAAUUCAAGCAUUAUCACAUACACUUUAAAGGUCUUUAAAUGUUAUAAUGUGGCUUAGGUUAAGACAGAAUAUAUUUAAAAAAGUAGCCUAACAAAAGAUGUGGAUUUAGAUACAAGCUACAAAUCUUCAAGAACGAAAAAGUACUACCAAAAUUUUAUUUCUUGGUUUUCCUUUUUUUCUUUUUUUUGUGUUGACCAAUUUUUGAUAGUUUAGUCUGCAAUUAUUUUUUUCUUUUUUCAUUUUUUUUAUUAGGAAAAUAUUUAUUCCACUAUUCUUGAUAUGUCCGUCUGCAUAUGAUAAGAUAUUUAUUCCACUUUGAUCCUUGACAAAAUCCAAAUCAUUGCAGCAAGAUCAGCAGCUAUCUAUUAUGAUCUCAAAUAACACCUCAUCCAGGAAAAAAAGUGACAACCAACAAGCAUCAACAUCAAAAAAAAUUGACAACCUCGUCCAGGAAAAAAAAUCAUAUUGGAGCAAUAUUAAUUCAUAAACAACCCAACCUUCAUAUUGGAGCAAAAUUUGUCCAAAUUCAUAAACUCAUACCUGUGGUUUCUUAUACAAAUCAAUAUGUCUUAAUUUAAAGAAACUCAUGUUUACAGAUAAAUCACCUAAAAGAGUAAAGCUACUGAAUAACUCCAUUGGAUGUGCUCUUACAGUUUAUGCAAAAUGAUGCUUGCACCAUUUUUUGGCGUCAAAGUAAGCACAGUGGUGGGAACAUGCACAUAAUUUGGAGAAAGUUCGAAUGAGAAAUUCUGCAGCAGCAAUGAAAUUGCUAUCUUUGCUUCUAGUAAGGCAAAGUUUUGUCCAAGACAAAUUCUAGGACCCCAUCCAAAAGGGAAAUAAGAAACUUUUCCUUUUGUAGCCUUUGCAAUUCCUUCAGCAAACCUUUCAGGUUUGAACUCCUUUGCAUCAUCACCCCAUAGAUCAUGAUCUUGGUGAAUCAAUAGUAUUGGUAGGGAAAUUUGUGUUCCUUCAGGUAGCGAAACGUUUCCAAGUUUCAAAUCCUUUCGAAGAGCUCGGUUGAAGUAAAUUAAAGGUGGGAAUAACCUUAGUACCUCAUACAAAAUCAUGGUAACCUAUAAAAACAAAAACAAUUAUUAGAUAGUACCAAAAAGGAUUAAGUAUUAAUAAUCAUCAAAAUGAAAUUUGAACAAUACAUACAAUUUUAAGUUGAUUUAAUCCUUC